UACGUAGGGGGCAAGCGUUGUCCCGAAUCAUUGGGCGUAAAGCGCGUGGAGGCGGCUCGGUAAGUCUGCUGUGAAAGUCCAGGGCUCAACCCUGGGAUGCCGGUGGAUACUGUCGAGCUCGAGUCCGGAAGAGGCGAGUGGAAUUCCAGGUGUAGCGGUGAAAUGCGUAGAUAUCUGGAGGAAUACCGGUGGCGAAGGCGGCAUCCUGGACCGACAUUGACGCUGAACGGCGAAAGCUAGGGGAGCAAACGGG
Molecule: ribosomal RNA, 253 nt
Filed under: uncultured bacterium
Lineage: Bacteria
Description: partial 16S ribosomal RNA
Rfam family: Bacterial small subunit ribosomal RNA
Source: RNAcentral